CUGCUGACUUUGAAGGUGGAAGCACGGUGCUAACAUCUGCUUCCUCUUCCGGUUGGCAGA
Bison bison bison is the source of this 60-nucleotide microRNA precursor. The record is from Ensembl. Lineage: Eukaryota; Metazoa; Chordata; Mammalia; Artiodactyla; Bovidae.